RNAcentral lists this ribosomal RNA (457 nucleotides) under Enterobacter hormaechei. Its description in RNAcentral is "partial 16S ribosomal RNA". It matches the Rfam family "Bacterial small subunit ribosomal RNA", at positions 20 to 473 of the family's 1533-position model. RNAcentral also lists the same sequence under 1 other name. Lineage: Bacteria; Pseudomonadati; Pseudomonadota; Gammaproteobacteria; Enterobacterales; Enterobacteriaceae. The record is from RNAcentral.
UGGCUCAGAUUGAACGCUGGCGGCAGGCCUAACACAUGCAAGUCGAACGGUAACAGGAAGCAGCUUGCUGCUUCGCUGACGAGUGGCGGACGGGUGAGUAAUGUCUGGGAAACUGCCUGAUGGAGGGGGAUAACUACUGGAAACGGUAGCUAAUACCGCAUAACGUCGCAAGACCAAAGAGGGGGACCUUCGGGCCUCUUGCCAUCGGAUGUGCCCAGAUGGGAUUAGCUAGUAGGUGGGGUAACGGCUCACCUAGGCGACGAUCCCUAGCUGGUCUGAGAGGAUGACCAGCCACACUGGAACUGAGACACGGUCCAGACUCCUACGGGAGGCAGCAGUGGGGAAUAUUGCACAAUGGGCGCAAGCCUGAUGCAGCCAUGCCGCGUGUAUGAAGAAGGCCUUCGGGUUGUAAAGUACUUUCAGCGGGGAGGAAGGCGAUAAGGUUAAUAACCUUGUC